RNAcentral lists this unclassified non-coding RNA (18 nucleotides) under Chlamydomonas reinhardtii. RNAcentral describes it as "small RNA Cre_1430". Lineage: Eukaryota; Viridiplantae; Chlorophyta; Chlorophyceae; Chlamydomonadales; Chlamydomonadaceae. The record is from RNAcentral.
CUAGCCCCCGCCGCCAGC